Molecule: ribosomal RNA, 19 nt
Filed under: Penicillium sp.
Lineage: Eukaryota; Fungi; Ascomycota; Eurotiomycetes; Eurotiales; Aspergillaceae
Description: partial 18S ribosomal RNA
Source: RNAcentral
GUAAGGGUGACCUGCGGAA